This 586-nucleotide unclassified non-coding RNA is filed under the name Hevea brasiliensis (rubber tree). The record is from RNAcentral. Lineage: Eukaryota; Viridiplantae; Streptophyta; Magnoliopsida; Malpighiales; Euphorbiaceae.
UGAUGCUAUACGAAAGGUUCCCUAUAACGUUUAUGCGUUUCACUUGAAAUGAGACAAAAUGCACCCAACAUGACUAGAAAAGCCGAAGUAGCACAUUCAUCAAAUUAAAGGAGGUUUCACAAGGAAAGAUGUUAAAGUGUUAAUAAUAUCCGCAGGGUUUCACAUAUCAGAUAAUAUGGAAUUCUAAAGCAUUAAAACUUAAAUUAGGACUCCCAGUUCUUAAAAUGGGGGAGAUAGAUGCUUGAUAUGCCAGAUUAACUGCUGCUGUCAUCAUUACAAUCACUGCUGAACCAUCACCAGCAGCAGAAGUACACCACAAACAACAUUACCUCUGCCAUAAUCACCAAUACCAAAACCAGAUCCCUGUUGCUACUAGUUAACUACUACCAAGUUCAAAGCCACUGCUUCCACCACCAAUAGUAAGUUUAAUAAAGAAAAAAAAAAGGGGAAAGAAAGAAGCAGAAGAAAAAAGAUCUCAUAAUUUAAGCCUUUAGAAGCCUCAACUUUAAGAGUCCUAAAACUUAUAAAUUCAUUCAUUUGAACAUCCCAGAAAAAGAUCAGAUAUUAAUUUGCCAAAACCCAUUAA